RNAcentral lists this ribosomal RNA (253 nucleotides) under uncultured bacterium. Its description in RNAcentral is "partial 16S ribosomal RNA". It matches the Rfam family "Bacterial small subunit ribosomal RNA", at positions 524 to 776 of the family's 1533-position model. The record is from RNAcentral.
UACGUAGGUGGCAAGCGUUGUUCGGAAUUACUGGGCGUAAAGCGUGCGUAGGUGGUUUGUUAAGUCUGCUGUGAAAUCCCCGGGCUCAACCUGGGAAUGGCAGUGGAUACUGGCAAGCUAGAGUGCGGUAGAGGGUAGUGGAAUUCCCGGUGUAGCGGUGAAAUGCGUAGAGAUCGGGAGGAACACCAGUGGCGAAGGCGGCUACCUGGACCAGCACUGACACUCAGGCACGAAAGCGUGGGGAGCAGACAGG